Podarcis lilfordi (Lilford's wall lizard) is the source of this 121-nucleotide non-coding RNA. NCBI's taxonomy places the organism in Eukaryota, Metazoa, Chordata, Lepidosauria, Squamata, Lacertidae. The record is from the annotation of a GenBank genome assembly.
AGUCCAGUAGCACCUUAGAGACCAACUGAGUUUGUUCUUGAUAUAAGAUUUUGUGUGCAUGCACACUUUCUAAGCUUAAACCAAGAACAAACUUAGUUGGUCUCUAAGGUGCUACUAGACA